Molecule: long non-coding RNA, 440 nt
Filed under: Helianthus annuus (common sunflower)
Lineage: Eukaryota; Viridiplantae; Streptophyta; Magnoliopsida; Asterales; Asteraceae
Description: hypothetical non coding rna
Source: RNAcentral
CCUCAGACCCCAUGCUUUCAAUUUAGAUGUUCUACACUCACACUCAUAUACUUUAUAUUUAAUACUUGGUUUAUUAACAUAUUCAUACAACCCAUUCAAGACUGGCAAACUCACAACUUCCAACAGUCUAACACACAUCCACACAUCAGAUUCUCUCUCUCUCGGCUCAAGAUUGGGCUGAAACCAAGCCCUCACACACACAACAUUCAAAGUUCAAGUAUUUUUCUAGUGAUCCCAAGCCUUGGUUUUUGAUGAUUCAAGCUCAAGACUUCUUUUAUUCUGAAUUGCUACCUUCUCCUUGCUUUCUUUAAGAAUGCUUUAAGAUGCAUGCUAACAAGUUCACAUUCUUGGAAACAACAUCACGGAAUCACGCUAAGCUAGCAUUGCACAGGAAUGUCCAGACAUGCAAGUUUUUGCAAAAGAAAACACUAUUUCGAUGA